RNAcentral lists this transfer RNA (76 nucleotides) under Metallosphaera yellowstonensis MK1. It matches the Rfam family "tRNA". Rfam says of the family: Transfer RNA (tRNA) molecules are approximately 80 nucleotides in length. Their secondary structure includes four short double-helical elements and three loops (D, anti-codon, and T loops). The record is from Rfam by way of RNAcentral. Lineage: Archaea; Thermoproteati; Thermoproteota; Thermoprotei; Sulfolobales; Sulfolobaceae. RNAcentral also lists the same sequence under 1 other name.
GGGGCCGUCGUCUAGCCUGGACUAAGAUGCUAGGCUUGGGCCCUAGUGAUCGCGGGUUCAAAUCCCGCCGGCCCCA